RNAcentral lists this small nucleolar RNA (117 nucleotides) under Phasianus colchicus (ring-necked pheasant). RNAcentral's name for it is "Small nucleolar RNA SNORD90 (ENSPCLG00000013241.1)". It matches the Rfam family "Small nucleolar RNA SNORD90". From Rfam's summary of the family: snoRNA HBII-295 belongs to the family of C/D snoRNAs. The record is from Rfam by way of RNAcentral. Lineage: Eukaryota; Metazoa; Chordata; Aves; Galliformes; Phasianidae.
CAGUAGUUUGUGACUUGUGUCUUAUGAUGAAGCUUCAUAGGGCAGAUUCUGAGCUGAGAAAUAGAAUUUCUCUCCACUGAUACUUGCUGUAUGCCAUCUGAAGACACUGUACAUUGC